AGAGUUUGAUCCUGGCUCAGAACAAACGCUGGCGGCGUGUCUUAAGCAUGCAAGUCGAGCGGCAAGGCGGGGCGACCCGCCCUAGAGCGGCGGACUGGUGAGUAACGCGUGGGUAAUCUACCUUGGGCAUGGGGAUAGCCAUUAGAAAUAGUGGGUAAUACCGAAUACGUUCGCAGGGGGAAGUGACCUGUGAGGAAAGGGUGCUACGGCACCGGCCUGAGAUGAGCUCGCGUCCCAUUAGCUAGUUGGUGAGGUAAGGGCCCACCAAGGCGAUGAUGGGUAGCCGGCCUGAGAGGGUGUACGGCCACACUGGGACUGAGAUACGGCCCAGACUCCUACGGGAGGCAGCAGCUAAGAAUAUUCCGCAAUGGACGAAAGUCUGACGGAGCGACGCCGCGUGGAUGAAGAAGGCCGAAAGGUUGUAAAGUUCUUUUGCGAGAGAAGAAUAACCGCAGGAGGGAAUGCCUGUGGGAUGACAUGAACUUGCGAAUAAGCCCCGGCCAACUACGUGCCAGCAGCCGCGGUAACACGUAGGGGGCGAGCGUUGUUCGGAAUUACUGGGCGUAAAGGGCAUGUAGGCGGUCUGGUAAGCCUGGCGUGAAAGACCACAGCUUAACUGUGGGGUUGCGCUGGGAACUGCUGGGCUUGAGUGACGGAGAGGGAGCUGGAAUUCCUGGUGUAGGGGUGAAAUCUGUAGAUAUCAGGAAGAACACCGAUGGCGAAGGCAAGCUCCUGGCCGAUGACUGACGCUGAGGUGCGAAAGUGUGGGGAUCAAACAGGAUUAGAUACCCUGGUAG
RNAcentral lists this ribosomal RNA (797 nucleotides) under uncultured bacterium. Its description in RNAcentral is "bacterial SSU rRNA". It matches the Rfam family "Bacterial small subunit ribosomal RNA", at positions 8 to 793 of the family's 1533-position model. The record is from RNAcentral.